RNAcentral lists this unclassified non-coding RNA (234 nucleotides) under Hyaloscypha sp. RNAcentral describes it as "partial contains small subunit ribosomal RNA, internal transcribed spacer 1, and 5.8S ribosomal RNA". The stretch from base 1 to 46 matches the Rfam family "Eukaryotic small subunit ribosomal RNA", at positions 1786 to 1831 of the family's 1831-position model. Lineage: Eukaryota; Fungi; Ascomycota; Leotiomycetes; Helotiales; Hyaloscyphaceae. The record is from RNAcentral.
AAGUCGUAACAAGGUUUCCGUAGGUGAACCUGCGGAAGGAUCAUUAAAGGAACUUCGUUCUUGAGCGGAGUAAUUCUUAACCCGUGUCUACCUUACCUUUGUUGCUUUGGCGGGCCGCCUUCGGGCGUCGGCUCCGGCUGACAGUGCCCGCCAGAGGACCCCAACUCUUUUAUUUAGUGAUGUCUGAGUACUAUAUAAUAGUUAAAACUUUCAACAACGGAUCUCUUGGUUCUG